GACGAACGCUGGCGGCGUGCUUAACACAUGCAAGUCGAACGGAAAGGCCCUGCUUUUGUGGGGUGCUCGAGUGGCGAACGGGUGAGUAACACGUGAGUAACCUGCCCUUGACUUUGGGAUAACUUCAGGAAACUGGGGCUAAUACCGGAUAGGAGCUCCUGCUGCAUGGUGGGGGUCGGAAAGUUUAGGCGGAUGGGGCUGGACUGGCGGCUUAUCAGCUUGUUGGUGGGGUAGUGGCUUACCAAGGCUUUGACGGGUAGCCGGCCUGGGAGGGUGACCGGCCACAUUGGGACUGAGGUACGGCCCAGACGCCUACGGGAGGCAGCAGUGGGGAAUAUUGCACAAUGGGCGGAAGCCUGAUGCAGCAACGCCGCGUGCGGGAUGACGGCCUUCGGGUGGUAAACCGCUUUCGCCUGUGACGAAGCGUGAGUGACGGUAAUGGGUAAAGAAGCACCGGCUAACUACGUG
Molecule: ribosomal RNA, 468 nt
Filed under: uncultured bacterium
Lineage: Bacteria
Description: partial 16S ribosomal RNA
Rfam family: Bacterial small subunit ribosomal RNA
Source: RNAcentral